RNAcentral lists this ribosomal RNA (463 nucleotides) under uncultured bacterium. RNAcentral describes it as "bacterial SSU rRNA". It matches the Rfam family "Bacterial small subunit ribosomal RNA", at positions 331 to 792 of the family's 1533-position model. The record is from RNAcentral.
CCAGACUCCUACGGGAGGCAGCAGUGAGGAAUAUUGGUCAAUGGGCGCGAGCCUGAACCAGCCAAGUCGCGUGAGGGAAGACGGCCCUAUGGGUUGUAAACCUCUUUUGUCGGAGAACAAAACCCGGGACGUGUCCCGGACUGCGUGUAUCCGAAGAAAAAGCAUCGGCUAACUCCGUGCCAGCAGCCGCGGUAAUACGGAGGAUGCGAGCGUUAUCCGGAUUUAUUGGGUUUAAAGGGUGCGUAGGCGGUCCGAUAGGUCGGCGAAAAAAUUGGGGGGCCCAACCCCCUCGAGCCGUUGAAACUGGCAGACUUGAGUUGGCGAGAAGUACGCGGAAUGCGCGGUGUAGCGGUGAAAUGCAUAGAUAUCGCGCAGAACUCCGAUUGCGAAGGCAGCGUACCGGCGCCAGACUGACGCUGAGGCACGAAAGCGUGGGGAUCGAACAGGAUUAGAUCCCCUAGUA